UGGUGGCAUGGCCGCAUGGGCGUCGUCGCCCACAAGCUCCCAAGAACACAAGCGCACCGCGGUGCCCGUCGCCGACGAGAGUUCCGUCGUCGGUCGAACGAUCCCAUCGAAUCCAGGAACGUUACUCCUGGUUCAGGAUCCGUCCAUGGGAGACUCCGGAGGAUCUGUCUGCAGCUCGCUCCUCCAUGGCUUCCUCUUCUCCGUCUGCUCCGCCAUGUCACUGGCCUAGGAGAGGCUCCUAAGCUGGAGAUUUCCCCUCUUAUUCGGUCCAGAUGAACGUGGAUUUCAGGUAGAAAUUCCAUCUGCGGUUUGUUCUUCUUGGAGUCGCCGAGGGAGCCUAGGAAAAACGAAAUGCCUUCGCCUUUAGAUUGGGCGGCAGCACCAAUUACGGCCUUACCCAUAUGGCCGUCACCCCGCUCGACCUCGUCACCUGCACUACGCAGGUGAGGCUCUAGAAUUUUUGGGUGCGUGGGGUUUCUAUUGGGGCUAGGGUUCCUUCAAUUGUCUAAUCAGUGUUUAUGCAAUUUGGUGGGAUGACGAGGCGGCGAUUUAAGAUUGGCUGGUGGUAACUACAGUCCGAAUCGAUUCAUGGUCUUCGUGCUUUCUUUUGAAUUUCCAGUUAAAUUUGGAUGGAACUUGUAGAUCAAGAUAAAAACCAGUUCGAAUGAAGCAACGUGUGCAUCUUGAGUCUACUCUGUUUGAUCGAGAUGCUUUUUCUGCGCAUAUUUAGGUCUGCAGUAUGAAAUGCCUGGAAACGGAGUAAUUUCUAAAGAAAUUUUUCAGAGGACACAGUUUUCUGAGGGCAUACUCUACUUCUUUCAUCAUUUGAGUACAGUUAGCAUGAAAAAGCCAGAGCCUUCUUCCUUAAAGAUGCUACUUGGCUGUUCAUCAAAUUCGUGAUUCUUGGCUUCGAGUUGCCAUUAUUGCAAGUUUUAUGUUGGAAUUUGAUGCAAACUUACUGCAUUCUUCGUUUUGCCAAAAUGAUUGACCCAGAUAAGUACAAGAAUAUCUCUGCAUGGUUUACGGUUUUGUUAAAUGAGCAAUGCUUUAGAGGCUUUUUCAAAUUUGAAUUUUAUGAGUUCUUCAAGAAGUUAUCCUCGGAGUUUGCUGGACCAGAGCAUGCAUCGAAGUAUAAAACUAUAAAACUGUCAUUUAUCUUGUGGGAUCUGCUUCUGCUGAAAUAAUUGCUAAUGCCCCUUUUCCCCAUGGAGGCAGUGAAGAUCAGGAUCCAAACUCAACCAGGGUUUGCUAAAGGUUUGAGAGAUGGACUACCUAAGUUUGUUGCAUCAGAAGCUCUUCCAGGGUACGUUUGCUUUCAGCUAAGAAAUCAUACCUUCAACUGCAGAUUUGUUUGCUGUUGCAUUCAAAUUGCAGACUUCAUAAAGGACUAGUUCCACUAUGAGGACGUCAAAUUCCUUCUGAUGCAUGCACCAGGAAGCCAAUCUUCACAUGGAGAGGUACAGAAGUCUAAAGUCAGCUGAGGCUUUUAAAUGACAAAGCCCACACGUGGCAAUGAUGUAGAGCAGGAGGCCCACAGGAAAAAAAGAGAGGUUGACGACAAUAAUUAUGUAAGUUGGAUGCUCAUCAGUUCAUCCACAUAAAUUGCCGGAUGCUCAGAACUUGGACAUGACUCGGAGGGGACCAUCACCACUGGAUUGGGUUCUUUAAAUCUGACAGGAUCUAUGUGACCUUUGCUACAACGAUAGAUGCUACCAACAUUCACCAUAGAACAUGCAGCAUGAAGAUAAGAAAUCUCUUUUCUAUUCCUUGAAAUUCAAUGCCUAGAUUAUAUCAGUGUGCCUCUAGUUUUUUCCAAAAAAAAAAAAACAAAAAUCAAUCAAUAAUGCUAUGUUAAUUCUCCCACCUUCUCACCUCAUACCUUAUCCUUGGACCUCAAUUCCUUUCCCUGUCUUGCCAAAAAUUCAUUGUCAUGAAAACAACAGGAGGUAUGAUAGAGUAGCUUGUCCAAACCAACAACAUACUCAUCGUCGGCUACCCCGUCCCUCUGUUUUUCUUGGUACUUGUUGUAGUGGUCCAUCUCAAUUAUUAACUAUAUGAUCUUCUCCCAUCCUCUCUUUUAUUUGGCCGUGUGCAGUCGCUUUUUUCGACUGGAUCAAUCAUAUUUGAAUGUGGUUUAUCUGUAAUCAGUCGGCAGUUUUGGUCAGUCCGUUUUGAAAACACUACUUCUCCCGAAGCUUCAUGGAUUUAGACUUUUAGUGCUCAGCAGUAAUCUUAAUGAGUUAAACUGCAAAAUUUUUACCUGGAUGAACACUCAUCAAUCUGGUGGUAAAAACACUGCAGCUAGCAAAACUCCAUGCUUUUACAGUUAGGAACUGCAUUUUAUAUCGUUUGUUUGCGUAGAAGCUCGAGAUCAGUGGAGGACCACUGAGCCAUCAUGUCAUUGCUUCUUUCAAGUAAGCCCACUGCCUUUGUCUUUGUUUCAGCCUUCCAUCACGACGCAAGUGUAAACUAGAAGUGAUUCUGUAGGUAGGAGCCACCAGAUUACAUGUUUGAAUUAAUUUGUGGAAAAGCAAAAGAAUAUCUCCAUAGGAAAAUGAUAUGUGAAAACUUUUACUCUUCUGUUUGGAUAAAUAGUAACUAAUAUAGCAUUUCCUCGUGGCGUUUUAUUCAGUG
Zingiber officinale is the source of this 2634-nucleotide long non-coding RNA. RefSeq lists it as uncharacterized. The transcript is spliced from 5 exons. The record is from RefSeq and is a predicted model, not a curated record. NCBI's taxonomy places the organism in Eukaryota, Viridiplantae, Streptophyta, Magnoliopsida, Zingiberales, Zingiberaceae.